CCGGCGGUGGGCGAGUUCCCGACGCCCGCCGACGCGGUCGGCACCGACCCGGCGUGGGUGGGACGGGUGCGGCGCUCGCCCGACGAUCC
RNAcentral lists this transfer RNA (89 nucleotides) under Streptomyces melanogenes. RNAcentral's name for it is "tRNA-Arg". Lineage: Bacteria; Bacillati; Actinomycetota; Actinomycetes; Kitasatosporales; Streptomycetaceae. The record is from RNAcentral.